RNAcentral lists this long non-coding RNA (2134 nucleotides) under Canis lupus familiaris (dog). RNAcentral's name for it is "lncRNA (ENSCAFG00000059399.1)". Lineage: Eukaryota; Metazoa; Chordata; Mammalia; Carnivora; Canidae. The record is from RNAcentral.
CAUUUUUGUUGCUGUUUAUUCAAAAUCUUUACUUUCAAAUUUUAGGAUCAAAAUUACUCGUAAUAUUUAAAUGCACAUUCCCAGGUCUCAGCGCUGAAUAAGAGAAUUAGAAUCUCUGAGGGAAGGGGCUCCAGGCAUGCUUAUUUUAACCAGCACUUAAGAGUCACAGGCAGAUGACACUAAGGCAGUUGGCUGUAAGCAUAGUGAAAAAUGUCAUACCUGUGAUGGUUUGUUUUCGAAGGCUAGCCACAGCCAUAUCUUCCAACACAGGCAUCCUAUGCUAGUUUCUAGAAUCUCUCCACUCCCUUUUCAAGAGGUGGAGUCCAUGCCCCAUACCUUUGAAACUGGGUGGGUUUUUGUGAUUAGUCAACCAGUAGAUUAUAGUGGGAAUGAUGCUAUGUGACUUCCAGGCUAGGUAAAAAAAAAGACGAUUCAGGUUCUGUUUUUGUUAGCUAGAACACUCGCUCUUGGAACCCAGCUACCAGGUAGUGAGACAGCCAAAGCUGCUCCAGCGAGAGGUCCACUCGGAGAGAAACUAAUAGCCAGCACCAACUUGCCAGCUACGUGAGCUAUCCUGGAAGUGGAUCUGGGCCCAGUCAGGCUGCCCAGGUUGACACAGCACAGCAUGGAGCAGGGAUGUGCCUUCCCUGCCAAGCUCUGCCCAAAUUGCAGAUUCCAGCGGGAAGUAAAUGAUUGUUGUCAUUUUAAAUGGUAUGCAUGAGCUGCUUUGUUAGGCAAUAUGUAAGUGGAACAGUGCACUUCUAAUAUUCACUUUGCUUUCUUCCUGAAUUCUGGGCCCUCUCUGAAAUAUUCCAAAGGUAUCCUUGUCCAAUGUCAUUUUUCCCCUAGAUUCUUUUAAUCACAGAACCACUAAUUUCAAACUUUUGGUUAUGUGAGGUUCUUAUUGUUACCUCUGAGGCUUGGUUUCUCAUCUCAAAAGCAGUCGUAAUAAGAGAACCCACCUCAUGAACUUUACACUUAGAUGAGAUAAUCCAUGUAAUCAUCCAGCAUUGUGCCCAGCACAUAAUAGUCUCAAUUUUUACUAGAUUUCUUGCAUUCAUAGUCUCCAUUUUAAAACUGCUAUAUUUAUAUAUUAAGUGCUUUAUUUAUUUAAAAAAUAUAUUUUUUUUGUAGUCCGAUGCCAUUUACAGGCUAUUUCCUAUGCUUGACAUGCUCUUCGAUACUAGGCCAGUUAGACUCUUAUUCAUCCUUGAGGGCAACUCUUCUCCCUUGGGAAAGCUUUCUCUGACUUUUCAAUCAGUUAAUGCCUCUCUGGGCUCACCUUGGAGCAAACUCUACUAUAGCCCUUAACACACUGGGCUGUAAUUAAUUACGUCUCUCUUCUCCAUUGGCCUGGAAGGCAGUCACGGUCGUCUCUGUAGUCUCACCGUCCAACGCAACACCUGGCACACCUUUACUCACCAUCCAGUCUGAGCUGUGCUGGGAAAACACCGCGGUUAAGCAGUUAAGGGGUCCUUGUUUUGGCAGACCAGCCCCGGGGUCACAACCAGCUCCAUUUUCUCCUGCAUGAUCUUAGAAAAAGUCAGUUGACGUUUCUGAGCCUCAUUUGUGGAAACACCUUCUGUGAAGAUGACGUAAAGUAACACCCGCGGAAAGCCUAUCCCAUAGCAACCAGCAGUCACCAGAACGCCUCAAAAUGCUUCUCCAACAAUCCCAUUUUCGGGCAGGGCCCUGCGCUCCACGGGGGUCCUCUCAGGGAUUACUCUGGGCUCGCGCCUCAUGCCUCCGGCUAGCAGCUCUGCCUUCAGGAGCCGACUCCCUGUCCCCUCAACUCUCUCUCCAAACCCUUGCUUUCAGCCUUCUCGGGGCUGAAGGGGCCCGAUUUACGUGCGAUUCAAAAUUCAAAACUCUCCGCCCGGGGAGACCCGCAUUCAGGAGUCUGGCCUCUGAGUCUCGGUCUCCCGCCUGCCUCCGAGGGAGCCGCCCCCCGCCGCGGCCGCGCGCAACUGCAGAAACGCUGAAGGAGCGAGAGCGACGGCGGAGAAUGAAUGGGCUGCGUCCGCCGCGGGGCCUCUGUGACGUCGCCCCCGGCGCAGGCGUGGCCGCGGCUAAGAGGCCUGCGGGGCGCCGGCCGCGCGACCCCAGCGGGCUCGGCCACGGGCGCCGGAGCCCC